UGUCUAUCCGGAGGUCAGUGUGUACCGAACGACCACUGGUGCGACCACUUUCCUGACUGCCCGGACUUCUCAGACGAGCUCAACUGUGAAAAUGCACCCUGCAGGAAGAAUCAGUUCCUCUGCGAUUCGGGUCAGUGUGUGAACGAAUCCCUACACUGCUUCGUUCCCGGUCAUCCGAGAGCUGGGUGCGCUGACUCGUCUAACUUGCUGCACUGUCAUGACUGGGAAUGUGCUGAAGGCCAGUUCAAGUGCAGGAACGGACCCUGUCUGAACAUCUCACUCCUAUGUGACGGUCACAUCGACUGCCAAGGGUCCUGGGAAGAUGAGGAUAAACUGCUGUAUGUCCUG
Molecule: long non-coding RNA, 348 nt
Organism: Homalodisca vitripennis (glassy-winged sharpshooter)
Lineage: Eukaryota; Metazoa; Arthropoda; Insecta; Hemiptera; Cicadellidae
Exons: 3
Source: RefSeq, a predicted model, not a curated record